Molecule: unclassified non-coding RNA, 2608 nt
Filed under: Hevea brasiliensis (rubber tree)
Lineage: Eukaryota; Viridiplantae; Streptophyta; Magnoliopsida; Malpighiales; Euphorbiaceae
Source: RNAcentral
UGGGCAGACCCUUUUGCCCUUAGAUUUCUUCUUUUCCCCCUAUUGUGGGCUGGGUUGGGUUCCCCUCUCUCUCUCUCCCUUCAAUUUUUACAGAAAUCAAUUACUCAACUAAUUAUUGUUUGUUAUUAAACAAUCUGCAAUUUGCCUAUAUAGAUAAAAAUUAAAAAAUAAAAAUGAAAAAUAAAAAAUUAUUUUCCAUAAAUGAACAUGUUCCCAGCUUUCCAUUUUUAAUUUUUAUGGGAAUAGCCUUCACAUGUUAAAGAAAAGGGGCUUAUAGCCCAUGUACAUUGCUUAAAGUCUGUUCAUACAAGCCGCCGACCAAAUACAUCAACCUAACACUAUUUUGCAACUAAGCCCAUUAACCCCAAGGCUCGAGGCCUCUUCAGCUAGCAAAACUAAGAGGAACCUGAUUCUUGUAACCCAAACAGGACCCGACGAAGCAAUUCUCCAGGACCCUACGAAGCAAUUCUCUCUGCCACAGUUCAAUCGCACAACAUAGCUCCAAGCACAACAUUGGCAUGCAUGGCAAGAAGAUCGAUCGUCAAACCACCAAUGCGUUGCAAAAUAGAGAAGGAACACAUACAAUAGUAAAAAGGCCAUUAACCCAAAGCAAACCCGAGGGUGGUUCAAAGGGGAGCAGCCCAUCGCAUCGACUAAGGACAGAGACAACAAUGAUAAAACACGUCGAUGUCUCAGUCGCGCCCUACCCACUGCCCAACAACAUAGAUAACGAAGCCACCAACCUUACACCUUUGGCCUAAUGUAAGAAACCACACAAUAUAUCUGCACAAGAGAGCAAUUUCCAUCCUCAUAGGUUAGCGCAAACCUCCUUAAAAAGCUGCUCGAUUUGCAAGAACCACGAACAAAAGAAAACCAAAAUCUAUGUACACCCCAACCGAUGGUAGGGAGGAUGAAACACCCACAAGUGGUCAGGGAGGAGAAUACCCCCUACCCGAAAGGGGCAGAGGUGAGCCACAGAGGAGGCUAGCAAACUAGCACCUUUGUGUAGAAAACUAGAGAUCAAACGAGAGGAUUUCCUCUGUCUAAAACUUAGAGAGAAAAGACUAGGUCUUUUUGCGCAGUUUUUGUUACUGAUUUAUCAUAAUGUCAUUUUUCUCAUCUUUGACUCUGAAAUUCUUUGCCACAAAAUUCUUAUUACUCUCAUUCAUUCUUGGUCUUUUUUCUGACAUUCUUUGUUUAUAAGAACAGCGACAAUGUGUUUAGGUAUAAUGCCCGUAAUAGGUACAAAAUAAUUUUAGGGAACCCUUAAAAUAAGAAGAAAGAGUUUUAUGUGGCUGUUCUGAAAGAGGAUAAUUCUUCAAGUUCUUGGGAUUUUGACACUAGUUGAGCAACCACCAGUCACAGGGAUUUUAAACUCCAAAACCUCACCCUUUUGGCCGCUAGAUCACCCAAAGGAAAGACAUUGGGGGAAACCUCAAAGCAAAUGGGAGGCUACCACCGUGAUCAAGGAGAGCUCUACUCUCCCUUCUUAUGUUUUGGCCAUGUAAUAAAGUGAGAACUUAAUUGUAAAGUUUUUAAAGUUAGGGAGUUAAAUAUGAGAUAUUUAACUCUCUAAGAGUACAUAAUUAACUAAUUUGAAAGGUUAAAUUAGUAACUCUAAGAAAUUAAACCCAUAUACAAUGAAUGUUAUGGAAACUAAUCAAACUUAGUUAUUAGUACUCACCGUAAGAGAAAGGAGCUACCACUCUAGCCAUAGCGUUUAGAAAUUUUCUAUACCAUAUUUAAUGUGAAUUAUCAUUAGACAGGUUUUUUAAUCUAAACCUGAUUCAUCGUAAAUUAAAUGAGACCCACUUAUUAAAUACAUAGAACUCAAGUAUUUAUGUCCUAGGUUUAUAGUGAACUGGGUCUAAGUAAGAAUUUCCUAUCAUUAGCCAUCAAAUAUGUUUUUGCAUUCUCUAUCUUUGCUAUAUAUAUAUGUUUUUGCAUAAUUAUUAUAUAAAAUAUAUAUUUUAAACUGCUAUUAUUAACAUUUUAUUCAUUGAAAUUUAUCUUAUAAUAAAAAAAUUAAAUUACUAAAUUCACCGUUUUCGAUACCUGCAUAACCUAUUGAAUUCCUAAUAAUAACAUGAUACAUAUAAUAGUGUAUAUUUGCAUUAGUCGUAUUUUAAUGACUUUGUAUAAUACAUAUCUGAAGGACGUCGAGCCGGCCACAAUCCUACCAGAUUUAUCAAAAGGCCAAAACGUUGUCCAGUGAAAACUAUGGAUUAGUGAAGAGAGUUAAUUUAAAUCCUGUGCAAGGAUGACAAAGUGGUAACACAGGUAUAAGAAUAAGUUAUUGUGGAAGAAGAGAUGCAUGCGAGAAUUUGAUAAUGAAAUGUGCCAUCCUUUUCUCUUUCCUAUGAAAUCUGAGUCUCUGUUUUCAGUUCCUCUCUUCCUUUAAUUCAUUUUUGCCUUUAGUUUACGUUAUUUGGUAUCAGAGCUGUGAUCCUCAGCCAUGGCAGAGGAAACUUGUUUUCAAGAAUGAAGGAAAAGAAUGCAGCAAUGAUGUUUGAACAGAAGCAUCAUCGAGAAGCCCAACUACAAUGUAUUGAUGAUUAGGGUAAAUCAUCAUCUAUUGAUUUUAGAGGCCUUGAUAAGACAUCUGAUG